AACUGCGUGCUUAGGAGAGCAGAGGUUUUCCUAAUCAGCUAGCACUCUCUUCCACAACCUACUUAUUAGUUCAGCAAAAUUAUGGUUAUUCUUUCAAGCCCAGCUUACAUGUCACUCCUAGGAUUAUAAAUUCGAAUGUCCCCAUGAUAUACUAUUUUACGUUCUUUGCUUAUUCUAGUGCAUAUUACGGUAUGAUUAGUUAUGGCGUAAAAAUCAUUUUUUCCUCAUCAAUUUCUGGGACAGUUCCUGACUCUGGGCUACGCACCUACGCUAAUACAAAAGUGAGCCAGAAUCAUUUGCAAUUUCUGGCAGGACUCUAGCAUCAUCUGAGGCCUAGGAGAAAAAGGAUGAAGUUCCUUUUAGAGACCUGCUUUCCCAGUCUCCCCAAGCCUCAGGCAUCUGCCCUACAGGCUAUCCACAGAUUUGUUUUCCACCGGCUUUCCACACCCUCCACUUCCACUCCCAGCACAGUUCCCUGUGGGCUCAGUGACUUAAUCCUCCCACAGAAGAUCUGCAUUUAAAAGAGAGUGGGCUGAGCGCGGUGGCUCAUGCCUGUAAUCCCAACACUUUGGGAGGCUGAGGUGGGUGGAUAGCAAGGUCAGGGGUUCGAGACCAGCCUGGCCAAUACGGCGAAACCCCAUUUCUACUAAACAUACAAAAAUUAGCCGGGCGUGGUGACGGGUACUUAUAGUCCGAGCUACUCGGGAGGCUGAGGCAGAAGAAUCGCUUGAACCCGGGAGGCGGAGGUUGCAUCGAGCCAAGAUCGCGCCACUGCGCUCCAGCCUGGGUGACAGAGUGCGACUCCGUAUCAAAAAAAAAAAAAAAAAAAAAAAAAAAAAAAAAGACAAUUUGGCCAGGAAGUGACCGGCAAUGGAAAGAGGGAAAUAAUCAGCACAUCCGCAUGUGUGCCCAUCUCAGAGACACAAACUGUGAAUAACAACUCACUUGGCUUCAUAACCAAGACCUACUCUGAGGAAUUGCAUCUCUUCCUUGGAGACCUUGAUUGGCCUGCUAGGUUAAAGGCAAGGGGCAGAUUUAAUCUAGAUUGACUUUAGCAAGACUUUUGACUCAGUCUUGGGCAACAUACUUAUCAAUAAACCUUUUGCUUCUCA
This is a long non-coding RNA of Pan troglodytes (chimpanzee), 1112 nucleotides long. RefSeq lists it as uncharacterized. The transcript is spliced from 3 exons. The record is from RefSeq and is a predicted model, not a curated record. NCBI's taxonomy places the organism in Eukaryota, Metazoa, Chordata, Mammalia, Primates, Hominidae.